Molecule: ribosomal RNA, 1407 nt
Filed under: metagenome
Description: bacterial LSU rRNA
Rfam family: Bacterial large subunit ribosomal RNA
Source: RNAcentral
AAAAGAGAAGACCGGUACAAGCGGGGUAGGAGUAAGGACAGCAAAUCUUCCUUACAAUCCGAAGACGUAAUGUGGACCGAACCAAAGUAGGGAAGCGUGUGAGCCAUGUGCCAAGAAAAGCCGCUAUUGUGAUACACAUACCCGUACCGUAAACCGACACAGGUGGAUGAGGAGAGAAUCCUAAGGCCGACGGAAGAAGCAUUGUUAAGGAACUCGGCAAAAUGACCCCGUAACUUCGGGAGAAGGGGUGCCCUGUGAAAGCAGGGCCGCAGAGAAUAGGCUCAAGCAACUGUUUAGCAAAAACACAGGUCUAUGCGAAACCGAAAGGUGAGGUAUAUGGGCUGACGCCUGCCCGGUGCUGGAAGGUUAAGAGGAGAAGUCAGGCAACGAAGCUUCGAAUUUAAGCCCCAGUAAACGGCGGCCGUAACUAUAACGGUCCUAAGGUAGCGAAAUUCCUUGUCGGGUAAGUUCCGACCCGCACGAAAGGCGUAAUGAUUUGAGCACUGUCUCGACAAUGCAUCCGGUGAAAUUGAAGUACCAGUGAAGAUGCUGGUUACCUGCGCCAGGACGGAAAGACCCCAUGGAGCUUUACUCCAGCUUGAUACUGGGAUUCGAUACUGUAUGUACAGGAUAGGUGGGAGACGUUGAACAUAGAACGCCAGUUUUAUGUGAGUCGCUGUUGGGAUACCACCCUUGCAGUAUUGGAUUUCUAACCUGCACCCAUGACCUGGGUGGGGGACAAUGUCUGGCGGGGAGUUUGACUGGGGCGGUCGCCUCCGAAAGGGUAUCGGAGGCGCUCAAAGGUUCCCUCAGAAUGGUUGGAAACCAUUCGAAGAGUGCAAAGGCAGAAGGGAGCUUGACUGUGACACCGACGGGUGGAACAGGUACGAAAGUAGGACUUAGUGAUCCGGUGGUAUAAAGUGGGAUUGCCAUCGCUCAACGGAUAAAAGCUACCCUGGAUAACAGGCUUAUCACUCCCAAGAGUUCACAUCGACGGAGUGGUUUGGCACCUCGAUGUCGGCUCAUCGCAUCCUGGGGCUGUAGCAGGUCCCAAGGGUUGGGCUGUUCGCCCAUUAAAGCGGUACGCGAGCUGGGUUCAGAACGUCGUGAGACAGUUCGGUCCCUAUCCGGCGCAGGCGGAGGAUAUUUGAGAGGAGCUGUCCUUAGUACGAGAGGACCGGGAUGGACGGACCACUGGUGUAUCUGUUGGCUAUCAGAGCCAUGGCAGAGUAGCCAAGUCCGGCAGGGAUAAACGCUGAAGGCAUCUAAGCGUGAAGCCCCCCUCAAGAUGAGAUAUCCCUCAGAAAUGAGUAAGACCCCUUGAAGACUACGAGGUAGAUAGGAAUGAGGUGUAAGCACAGCAAUGUGUUCAGCUGACAUUUACUAAUCGGUCGAGGGCUUGACCAA